RNAcentral lists this ribosomal RNA (563 nucleotides) under Cortinarius muscigenus. Its description in RNAcentral is "eukaryotic LSU rRNA". It matches the Rfam family "Eukaryotic large subunit ribosomal RNA", at positions 1 to 562 of the family's 3401-position model. The record is from RNAcentral. Lineage: Eukaryota; Fungi; Basidiomycota; Agaricomycetes; Agaricales; Cortinariaceae.
GUGACCUCMAAUCAGGUAGGACUACCCGCUGAACUUAAGCAUAUCAAUAAGCGGAGGAAAAGAAACUAACAAGGAUUCCCCUAGUAACUGCGAGUGAAGCGGGAAAAGCUCAAAUUUAAAAUCUGUCAGUCUUUGGCUGUCCGAGUUGUAAUCUAGAGAAGUGUUAUCCGCGCUGGACCGUGUACAAGUCUCCUGGAAUGGAGCGUCAUAGAGGGUGAGAAUCCCGUCUUUGACACGGACUGCCAGGGCUUUUGUGAUGUGCUCUCAAAGAGUCGAGUUGUUUGGGAAUGCAGCUCAAAAUGGGUGGUAAAUUCCAUCUAAAGCUAAAUAUUGGCGAGAGACCGAUAGCGAACAAGUACCGUGAGGGAAAGAUGAAAAGAACUUUGGAAAGAGAGUUAAACAGUACGUGAAAUUGCUGAAAGGGAAACGCUUGAAGUCAGUCGCGUCAUUCAGGGAUCAACCUUGCUUUUGCUUGGUGUACUUUCUGGUUGACGGGUCAGCAUCAAUUUUGACCAUUGGAAAAAGAUUAAGGGAAUGUGGCAUACCAUACGUGAUGUGUUAUA